UCUUCGGCAAUGGACGCAAGUCUGACCGAGCAACGCCGCGUGAGUGAAGAAGGUUUUCGGAUCGUAAAACUCUGUUGUAAGAGAAGAACGUUGAUGAGAGUGGAAAGUUCAUCAAGUGACGGUAUCUUACCAGAAAGCCACGGCUAACUACGUGCCAGCAGCCGCGGUAAUACGUAGGUGGCAAGCGUUGUCCCGGAUUUAUUGGGCGUAAAGCGAGCGCAGGCGGUUGAUUAAGUCUGAUGUGAAAGCCCCCGGCUCAACCGGGGAGGGUCAUUGGAAACUGGUCAACCUGAGUGCAGAAGAGGAGAGUGGAAUUCCAUGCGUAGUGGUGAAAUGCGUAGAUAUAUGGAGGAACACCAGGGCGAAGGCGGCUCUCUGUCUUAACGACGCUAGGCUCGAG
This 400-nucleotide ribosomal RNA is filed under the name uncultured bacterium. RNAcentral describes it as "bacterial SSU rRNA". It matches the Rfam family "Bacterial small subunit ribosomal RNA", at positions 362 to 757 of the family's 1533-position model. The record is from RNAcentral.